AACGAACGCUGGCGGCAUGCCUAACACAUGCAAGUCGAACGAGACCUUCGGGUCUAGUGGCGCACGGGUGCGUAACGCGUGGGAACCUGCCCUUAGGUUGGGAAUAACUCCCCGAAAGGGGUGCUAAUACCGGAUAAUUUCUUCGGACCAAAGAUUUAUCGCCUUUGGAUGGGCCCGCGUUGGAUUAGCUAGUUGGUAGGGUAAAAGCCUACCAAGGCGACGAUCCAUAGCUGGUCUGAGAGGAUGAUCAGCCACACUGGGACUGAGACACGGCCCAGACUCCUACGGGAGGCAGCAGUGGGGAAUAUUGGACAAUGGGCGAAAGCCUGAUCCAGCAAUGCCGCGUGAGUGAUGAAGGCCUUAGGGUUGUAAAGCUCUUUUACCCGGGAUGAUAAUGACAGUACCGGGAGAAUAAGCGCCGGCUAACUCCGUG
RNAcentral lists this ribosomal RNA (433 nucleotides) under uncultured bacterium. Its description in RNAcentral is "partial 16S ribosomal RNA". It matches the Rfam family "Bacterial small subunit ribosomal RNA", at positions 29 to 507 of the family's 1533-position model. The record is from RNAcentral.